RNAcentral lists this ribosomal RNA (253 nucleotides) under uncultured bacterium. RNAcentral describes it as "partial 16S ribosomal RNA". It matches the Rfam family "Bacterial small subunit ribosomal RNA", at positions 524 to 776 of the family's 1533-position model. The record is from RNAcentral.
UACGUAGGGGGCUAGCGUUGUCCGGAAUCAUUGGGCGUAAAGCGCGUGUAGGCGGCCCGGUAAGUCCGCUGUGAAAGUCGGGGGCUCAACCCUCGGAUGCCGGUGGAUACUGUCGGGCUUGAGUACGGAAGAGGCGAGUGGAAUUCCUGGUGUAGCGGUGAAAUGCGCAGAUAUCAGGAGGAACACCUACUGCGAAGGCAGCUCGCUGGGACGUGACUGACGCUGAGACGCGAAAGCGUGGGGAGCAAACAGG